UCCACUACUCAGUUGGUAGAGUGCAAAGCUCUUAACCUUGUGGACGUGGGUUCAAGCCCCAUGGUGGAG
This is a non-coding RNA of Triticum urartu, 69 nucleotides long. The record is from Rfam. NCBI's taxonomy places the organism in Eukaryota, Viridiplantae, Streptophyta, Magnoliopsida, Poales, Poaceae.